RNAcentral lists this small nuclear RNA (163 nucleotides) under Triticum aestivum (bread wheat). RNAcentral's name for it is "snRNA U1". It matches the Rfam family "U1 spliceosomal RNA". From Rfam's summary of the family: U1 is a small nuclear RNA (snRNA) component of the spliceosome (involved in pre-mRNA splicing). RNAcentral also lists the same sequence under 1 other name. Lineage: Eukaryota; Viridiplantae; Streptophyta; Magnoliopsida; Poales; Poaceae. The record is from RNAcentral.
ACCCCUACCUGGACGGGGCUGAUGACUUAUAAAGAAGGGUCGUGGCCUAGAUCCACGGCUCAAAUUGCAUUUGGUGAGCGUGUUGUUCUACCAUCUCCCCAAUUGAGAGAAUGGAUGUCAUGAUUUUUGGUAGAUGGGGGGUAUGCGUUUGUGCGGCCCUGCC